This 305-nucleotide ribosomal RNA is filed under the name uncultured bacterium. RNAcentral describes it as "bacterial SSU rRNA". It matches the Rfam family "Bacterial small subunit ribosomal RNA", at positions 335 to 638 of the family's 1533-position model. The record is from RNAcentral.
AUGCCUACGGGAGGCAGCAGUGAGGAAUAUUGGUCAAUGGACGCAAGUCUGAACCAGCCAUGCCGCGUGCAGGAUGACGGCUCUAUGAGUUGUAAACUGCUUUUGUACGAGGGUAAUAUCGGAUACGUGUAUCUGCUUGAAAGUAUCGUACGAAUAAGGAUCGGCUAACUCCGUGCCAGCAGCCGCGGUAAUACGGAGGAUGCGAGCGUUAUCCGGAUUUAUUGGGUUUAAAGGGUGCGCAGGCGGCGAGUUAAGUCAGCGGUAAAAUUUCGGGGCUCAACCCCGACGAGCCGUUGAAACUGGCU